Molecule: ribosomal RNA, 161 nt
Filed under: Oleiphilus sp. HI0066
Lineage: Bacteria; Pseudomonadati; Pseudomonadota; Gammaproteobacteria; Oceanospirillales; Oleiphilaceae
Description: partial 16S ribosomal RNA
Rfam family: Bacterial small subunit ribosomal RNA
Source: RNAcentral
CCUUGUACACACCGCCCGUCACACCAUGGGAGUGGAUUGCACCAGAAGUAGUUAGUCUAACCUUCGGGGGGACGAUUACCACGGUGUGGUUCAUGACUGGGGUGAAGUCGUAACAAGGUAGCCCUAGGGGAACCUGGGGCUGGAUCACCUCCUUAAACGAA